RNAcentral lists this small nuclear RNA (21 nucleotides) under Arabidopsis thaliana (thale cress). RNAcentral's name for it is "snRNA_16938". Lineage: Eukaryota; Viridiplantae; Streptophyta; Magnoliopsida; Brassicales; Brassicaceae. The record is from RNAcentral.
AAAAACUGAAAGGUCUUUUUC